This 497-nucleotide ribosomal RNA is filed under the name uncultured bacterium. RNAcentral's name for it is "partial 16S ribosomal RNA". It matches the Rfam family "Bacterial small subunit ribosomal RNA", at positions 28 to 507 of the family's 1533-position model. The record is from RNAcentral.
GAUGAACGCUGGCGGCGUGCCUAAUACAUGCAAGUCGAGCGAACAGACGAGGAGCUUGCUCCUCUGACGUUAGCGGCGGACGGGUGAGUAACACGUGGAUAACCUACCUAUAAGACUGGGAUAACUUCGGGAAACCGGAGCUAAUACCGGAUAAUAUAUUGAACCGCAUGGUUCAAUAGUGAAAGACGGUUUUGCUGUCACUUAUAGAUGGAUCCGCGCCGCAUUAGCUAGUUGGUAAGGUAACGGCUUACCAAGGCAACGAUGCGUAGCCGACCUGAGAGGGGGAUCGGCGACCCUGGAACUGAGACACGGUCCAGACGCCUACGGGAGGCAGCAGUAGGGAAUCUUCCGCAAUGGGCGAAAGCUUGACGGAGCAACGCCGCGUGAGUGAUGAAGGUCUUCGGAUCGUAAAACUCUGUUAUUAGGGAAGAACAAAUGUGUAAGUAACUAUGCACGUCUUGACGGUACCUAAUCAGAAAGCCACGGCUAACUACGUG